UUAGCCCUAAACCUAGAUAGUUAACCCAAACAAAACUAUCCGCCAGAGAACUACUAGCAACAGCUUAAAACUCAAAGGACUUGGCGGUGCUUUAUAUCCCUCUAGAGGAGCCUGUUCUAUAAUCGAUAAACCCCGAUAAACCUCACCAUCUCUUGUUAAUUCAGCCUAUAUACCGCCAUCUUCAGCAAACCCUAAAAAGGAAGAAAAGUAAGCACAAGUGUCUUAACACAAAAAAGUUAGGUCAAGGUGUAGCCUAUGAGAUGGGAAGCAAUGGGCUACAUUUUCUACAACUAGAACAUUCACGAAAAUCCUUAUGAAAUUAAGUAUUCAAGGAGGAUUUAGUAGUAAAUUGAGAAUAGAGAGCUCAAUUGAAUCGGGCCAUGAAGCACGC
RNAcentral lists this ribosomal RNA (391 nucleotides) under Panthera pardus (leopard). RNAcentral's name for it is "partial 12S ribosomal RNA". It matches the Rfam family "Bacterial small subunit ribosomal RNA", at positions 796 to 1384 of the family's 1533-position model. Lineage: Eukaryota; Metazoa; Chordata; Mammalia; Carnivora; Felidae. The record is from RNAcentral.